GACGAACCGUGCGAACGUUAUUCGGAAUCACUGGGCUUAAAGCGCGUGUAGGCGGGAGGGCACGUCCGUCGCUGAAAUCCCCCGGCUCAACCGGGGAACGGGCGCGGAUACGACCUUCCUGGAGGGGCGUAGGGGGACCUGGAACUUCCGGUGGAGCGGUGAAAUGCGUUGAGAUCCGGAAGAACACCGGUGGCGAAGGCGGCCUGCUGGGCAGUUGCUGACACUGAGGCGCGACAGCGUGGGGAGCAAACAGG
RNAcentral lists this ribosomal RNA (254 nucleotides) under uncultured bacterium. RNAcentral describes it as "partial 16S ribosomal RNA". It matches the Rfam family "Bacterial small subunit ribosomal RNA", at positions 524 to 776 of the family's 1533-position model. The record is from RNAcentral.